CUGCACGUUGUCGUCUUAAAUCAGUUUUGAUUAUGCAUUAUGUAUUUCUGAAGCCAUUUUAAUGUUCAAAGAAAACAAUUCUUGAGUCCCAUAAUUGUCUUUCUGACCAAACAAAAUUUAUAUAUUUAUGAUAUGUGUGGAAAUCAAAAUUUAAUGUGGUCAGACCAGCACAAUAACCAAUUUUCUAAGCAUGGAACAAUAAUAUUUA
Molecule: unclassified non-coding RNA, 208 nt
Filed under: Hevea brasiliensis (rubber tree)
Lineage: Eukaryota; Viridiplantae; Streptophyta; Magnoliopsida; Malpighiales; Euphorbiaceae
Source: RNAcentral